This 1290-nucleotide ribosomal RNA is filed under the name Cucujoidea sp. 34 KM-2017. Its description in RNAcentral is "16S ribosomal RNA". The stretch from base 1045 to 1205 matches the Rfam family "Archaeal large subunit ribosomal RNA", at positions 2542 to 2701 of the family's 2987-position model. Lineage: Eukaryota; Metazoa; Arthropoda; Insecta; Coleoptera. The record is from RNAcentral.
AAUUGUUUAAAUGAUUAAAUUUUAUUUGUAAUUUUAUAUUUAAAAAAAAUAUUUAUAUUUUAGUAUGAGUUAGAAAGAAUAUUGUUUAUUAUAGUUUAAUGGUAUUGAGAAAGAAAUUUAAUAAUAUUAAUAAAAGAAGAAUUGAUUUUUUGUACCUUGUGUCUCAGGGUUUAUUUAAAAAAUGAUAAAGAUUUAUUAUUUCCGAAUUUAGAAGGGCUAUUUAGUUAUAUAUUUUAAUGUAAAAUAAUUAAGUGGAAUAAUUAAAUAGUAAUGAAAUGUUAUUCGAUUUUAAAUAUAUCUGGUUUUUAAAGAAAAAAUUUAAAGUUUAAAUUUAAUUAAUAAUUAAAAUAUUUAAUGUAUUUUAAUUAUUUUAAUAUUUAAUGUGUUUAGGGAUAAGCUUAAACACAGAUUUUUAUAAGUUUAUAAUUUUUAUAAAUAAAAUGUAGGAUUAAAAUUUUUUAUCAUUUUAAUUAUGUAAUAAUAAAUUAUUUAAUAAUAUAAAUUUUUAUAAGUUUUAAGUAUGUAUUUAAAAUUUUAUUUUAAUAUUUUUAAUAAAGUAAUAAUGAUAGAAUUAGUAUAUUUAUUUGUAAUUUUAGUAUUUUUUUUAAUAUUAAAUUAAGGAAUUCGGCAAAUAUUAUUUUUACCUGUUUAUUAAAAACAUGUCUUAUUGAUUAUAAUUUUAAGUCUAACCUGCCCAUUGAAAAUUUUGAAAGGCUGCAGUAAUUUGACUGUACAAAGGUAGCAUAAUCAUUAGUUUUUUAAUUGAAAGCUGGAAUGAAGGGUUGAAUAGAAAAUAAGCUGUCUCUGUUUAAUUGAAUAGAAUUUUAAUAUUAAGUGAAAAAGCUUAGAUGUUUAUUAAAGACGAGAAGACCCUAUAAAGUUUUAUAAAAAUUGAUAUUUUAAGUUAUUUAGGUUUAAUGAUUUAAAAAUUAUGAUUAUUUAAUUGGGGUGAUUGAAAAAUUUAAGGAACUUUUUUUUAUUAAAAACAUUUGUGUAUGGUUAAUUGGUCCAUUUUAUAUGAUUAAAAGAUUAAAUUACUUUAGGGAUAACAGCGUAAUUUUUUUUGUUUAGUUCUUAUAAAAAAAAAAGAUUGCGACCUCGAUGUUGGAUUAAAAUUAAUUUAUGGUGCAGGAGCUAUAAAGUGGGAGUCUGUUCGACUUUUAAAAUUUUACAUGAUCUGAGUUUAAACCGGUGUGAGCCAGGUUGGUUUCUAUCUUGAUUUAUUGUUAUUAUUUUAGUACGAAAGGAUUAGAUAGUAAAAUUAUAUUUUAAAAAAUGAAUAAAAUUAAA